RNAcentral lists this ribosomal RNA (104 nucleotides) under uncultured bacterium. RNAcentral describes it as "partial 16S ribosomal RNA". It matches the Rfam family "Bacterial small subunit ribosomal RNA", at positions 1379 to 1482 of the family's 1533-position model. The record is from RNAcentral.
CCUUGUACACACCGCCCGUCACACCAUGGGAGUCAGUUGCUCCAGAAGUGGCUUGCCGUAACCGUAAGGAGGGCGGUCCUAAGGAGUGACUGGUAACUGGGGUG